ACGAACGCUGGCGGCGUGCUUAACACAUGCAAGUCGAACGGAAAGGCCCUGCUUUUGUGGGGUGCUCGAGUGGCGAACGGGUGAGUAACACGUGAGUAACCUGCCCUUGACUUUGGGAUAACUUCAGGAAACUGGGGCUAAUACCGGAUAGGAGCUCCUGCUGCAUGGUGGGGGUUGGAAAGUUUCGGCGGUUGGGGAUGGACUCGCGGCUUAUCAGCUUGUUGGUGGGGUAGUGGCUUACCAAGGCUUUGACGGGUAGCCGGCCUGAGAGGGUGACCGGCCCCAUGGGAACUGGGGUACGGCCCGGACCCCAAGGGGAGGAAGGGGGGGGGAAUAUUGCACAAGGGGCGGAGGCCUGGUGCAGCAACGCCGGGGGGGGGAUGGCGGCCUUCGGGUUAGAAACCGUUUUGGCCGGUGACGAAGCGUGGGUGGGGGUAAUGGGAAAAAAAGCACCGGCAAACUAGGG
This 466-nucleotide ribosomal RNA is filed under the name uncultured bacterium. RNAcentral describes it as "partial 16S ribosomal RNA". It matches the Rfam family "Bacterial small subunit ribosomal RNA", at positions 29 to 506 of the family's 1533-position model. The record is from RNAcentral.